AAAAUCAUGAUUGAUUCUAAAUGUCAACUGCACAUAACUGUAUCUCAAAUCAGCGUAAUAAUAACUAUGAUCUUUCAUAUUGAACCUCAUAUGCUCCACAUAUAAAUUUGAAUAAACAUCUUCAUAGAUUUUAUAUGCGUACUGCACAUAACCGAGCUUGCAUACUGUUAGAUAAAAAAUAUUGUUUACGCAAAUAACCCUUGUGAGCAUCGCAUAUAAGUUUUAUAUGCGCAAUACUAUAGAUUUUUGCAGUAUGCUUUUACUCAUAAAAAAUAUAUGCAAUGCUCACAACAUUUAUGAGUGCAUGCUCGAUGUGCGCGUAUGCGAGUGUAUGCGAUGUGCAUAAACGUGCAUAAUUGAACAAGAUUGCCACGGUGGAAUAAAACGAGUUCGGUCUCGGGUUUUCUUUUGAAAAGUUUUCUUUUAAAAAGUAGUUUUUUGUGCAUAAUCGGUUGGUCUGAUUAAUUAAAUCUUCUAGCAAAGCUUCGACGAUAAUGUCCGGCGUCCGGGAACCUCGCUCGCGGUCCCGCGAACUCUGGGAACUGGGAAAACCCGCAGUAGGCACCGGAGUCCUCCGCCGUCGAAGAGGAGAGCGUCGGCUUGGUGGAUCCGGAAGUUGAGCCAGUAGCAACAGCCUCGAGGUUCAUUUUGUCCCAGAAUUUGUCUAUUGUGAAACUGUACUCAAACGGUGUUGAGGCCGAUUCCGCGCACCGAGAUUGCAGGCGAUUCCUGCUCGAAGGUGGUCCAGACCCAAGUCCAGACCAGACCAGAUUCAAAGCAUGUUUGGCCACAUCGGUAAGAAAUACGAGAUCCGGCUGUAUCUAACGAUCUGGAGCGUGUCCUGUUCGGUGGUGUCCCGGGUUUUCCACGUCAAUUAAUUUGAAAGCAGCAGAUGGAGAUGGCCGCCAAUGGGACGCUGGUUUCGGGACUGCAGAACAGCGACGGGCCGUGCAGAUUGCUUCUGGAGGUUGUGAACCGCAUCGGAUUGGUUCCCAACCAGAUCGUGAGAACCAUCGAUCGAAAACUUCAUCUUCCAGUGCUGCUGUCGAUCUUGACACAAAUAACAUCGAGCUGGACGUCAAGUCGGACAUGUGCUUCGAGAAUUUGAUGAACCACAUCAAGCAGCCGGUAAGGUCAAGGACGUUCGGUGAAACAAAGAGCAACGAAGCAGCCGCUCAAGAAGUCUCUCCUCCCGGAAACGGUCCCUCUCAAAGCGAUCUCCCAUAAACGGACGGAGCCGCUCUCGUUUCAGGAACCACCGCAAGUGCUCCAAGUCGGCAAUCGUAGCUUAAUAAAAGUUAAAAAAUGAAUCAAAAACUUUUUUUAUGAUUAAGAAAGAAAAUAUUAGUAUUAGAAGUAAUACAUAAUGAUAAAAUGCAUGACUAUCAAAAAUCAAUUGAAAAUUCAUUAUAAAUUGUGGGUGCUGCACUUACAUGUUAUAUGUGGGUGCAAAUAGCCGCAUAAUUCAAUCUGUGAGCAUUGCAUAUAACAUUCAUAUGCCGUGAGCAUAUUUUUCAUGUGCGUUGGCAUAUUUCUAUUCCUUAUCCAUUUAUAUGCAGUGCUCACACAGUUCAUGUGCAGCGCAUAUACCGGUCAAAUGUAGAGGCAUUCUGCAAAAAUCUAUAUGCGAAACUAAUAGCAUACAUCAUGAUAUUUAUUU
Long non-coding RNA from Culex pipiens pallens (northern house mosquito), 1660 nucleotides. RefSeq lists it as uncharacterized. NCBI's taxonomy places the organism in Eukaryota, Metazoa, Arthropoda, Insecta, Diptera, Culicidae. The transcript is spliced from 3 exons. The record is from RefSeq and is a predicted model, not a curated record.